Leptonychotes weddellii (Weddell seal) is the source of this 104-nucleotide small nuclear RNA. Lineage: Eukaryota; Metazoa; Chordata; Mammalia; Carnivora; Phocidae. The record is from RefSeq and is a predicted model, not a curated record.
GUGCUCAUUUCAGCAGCACAUAUGCUAAAAUUGGAACAAUACAGAGUUUAACACAGGCCCUGUGCAAAGAUGACAUGCAAAUUCUUGAAGCAGUCCAUAUUUAA